AGAAUCAACGCUGGCGGCGUGCCUAACACAUGCAAGUCGAACGCGAAAACCCCGAAAGGGAUUAGUAGAGUGGCAAACGGGUGAGUAACGCGUGGGUGACCUGCCUUCGAGCGGGGGAUAACGGUUCCGAAAGGGACGCUAAUACCGCAUAACAUCCUGCCUUUGAACAGGUGGAGAUCAAAGCUGGGGACCGCAAGGCCCGGCACUUGAAGAGGGGCCCGCGUCUGAUUAGCUAGUUGGUGAGGUAACGGCUCACCAAGGCGACGAUCAGUA
This 273-nucleotide ribosomal RNA is filed under the name uncultured bacterium. RNAcentral describes it as "partial small subunit ribosomal RNA". It matches the Rfam family "Bacterial small subunit ribosomal RNA", at positions 26 to 285 of the family's 1533-position model. The record is from RNAcentral.